RNAcentral lists this long non-coding RNA (1221 nucleotides) under Taeniopygia guttata (zebra finch). RNAcentral's name for it is "lncRNA (ENSTGUG00000029535.1)". The record is from RNAcentral. Lineage: Eukaryota; Metazoa; Chordata; Aves; Passeriformes; Estrildidae.
AAAUUCCCCAAAAAAGCCCAAAAUUCCCUUAAAUGCCCCAAAAUUCCCGAGGAAACCCCAAAAAUCCCCCCAAAAUACUCCAAAAAAAUCCAAAAAUUGCCCCACAUUCUCCCUAAAAACCCCAAAAUUCUGCCCAAAAUUCCCCCAAAAAGCCCCAAAAUUCCCCCAAAAAUACCCCGAAAAUUCCCAAAAAAAUUCCCCCAAAAAUUCCCUAAAACUCCCCAAAAUACCAAAAAUUCACCAAAAAAUUCCCGAAAAUUCCCCCAAAAUUCCCCAAGAACGCCCCCAAAAAACCCCGAAAUUCCCCCAAAAAUCCCCAAAAAACCCCAAAAUACCCAAAAAUUCACCCCAAAAUUCCCGAAAAUUCCCCCAAAAAACCCCAAAAUUUCCCAAAAAACUCCAAAAUUCCCCAAGAACGUCCCCAAAAAACCCCAAAAUCCUCCCAAAAAUCCCCAAAAUACCAAAAAUUCCCCAAAAUUCCCCCAAAAACACCCUAAAAACCCCCAAAAUUCCCUCCAAAUUUCCCCAAAACGCCCCAAAAUUCCCCAAAAACCCCCAUUUUUCCCAUAUAAGGUCAUUUCCCCCAUUAACAUCCGCCUCAUUUGCAUAACGCCCUCAGCCCCGCCCCCUGUGGGCGUGGCCUCACCGGCACCUCCUCCCCCAGCAGUGACCCCAAAAUGGCCCAAAAUGCCCCAAAAACUCCCAAAAUUCCCCCCAAAACUACCCAAAACCCACAAAAUUCCCAAAAUAUCCCCCAAAACCUCUGAAACAAUCCCAAAAUUAUCCAAAAGCUCCAAAAUUACCCCAAAAAUUACCCCAAAAUAUCCCCAAAAAAACCCAAAAUUCCCCCAAAAAACCCCCAAAUACCCAAAAAUUCACCCAAUAUUCCCUGAAAAUUCCCCCAAAAGCCCAAAAAUCCCUCAAAACGCCCCCAAAAUCCCGAGAAAACCCCAAAAAUUCCCCGAAAAUACUCAAAAAAAAAUCCAAAAAUUGCCCCAAAUUUGCCCAAAAAUCCCAAAAUUCUGCAAAAAUGACCCAAAAAUACCCAAAAAUUCCACCAAAAAUCCCCAAAUUCCCCAAGAACGCCCCCAAAAAAAUCCUCAAAUUCUCCCAAAAAUCCCUAAAAUAACCCCAAAAUACCAAAAAUUCACCCAAAAAUCCCAAAAUUCCCCAAGAACGCCCCCAAAAAACCCUCAAAUCCCAAAAAAAUCCGCAAAAUAA